CAUCAACCAUUUGUCAACAGGCGUGCUCUCGGCGCCAAAGUCUUCCAAGACUGAUCCCGUCUGGACCGGCUGAACCAGAUCGUCUGGCCGGAGAUUGCCAGCAUGGUUCAGGAGGAGAUGAGGGUCCUGGAGGUGAUGAAGGAUGCCUGGUGUGUGUGCUGGAUGCAGCCGUGCUGAUUGAAGCGGGAUGGGACGGGUUCUGCCAUGAGGUGUGGUCAUGCAUUAUUCAUAAGGAUUGAGGCCUUGAAGCGUAUUCUAGACAGGGAUCGUGUACCAGAGGAGAAGGCACGACAGCGCAUAGAAUCCCAGCUCAGUAACCAGGAACGUGUGGAUCAUUCCAAUGUCGUCUUCUGCACCUUCUUGGAGCCAGAGGUCACUCAGAAGCAGGUGGAGAAGGCUUGGGCUGGGCUUAUGGAGAGAUUACCAUCUCGUGAAGCUAAACCACAGCAGCCUAAACUAUGACGGCGGAAGGCACCAGGAGCUUAAUGUAGCUUUGAUGUCAUCAAAGCCCUAAGUGCGCUGUGGUCGUCGUUAAGAAGCGAAUCAACAAUAGAUUUUGCUCCUUGAACCAAGGAAAUCUCGUCAACCCAUCCCCAGGAACGGUGAUCGACUCGGUGGUCACCAAACCAGACUUAUACGACUUCUUCCUUGUCAGUCAGUCUGUACGCCAGGGCACGGUCACUCCAACCAGUUACAAUGUGAUCUGGGACAACUCGGGUCUGGCACCAGACAGCAUGCAAAGCCUGACCUACAAGCUCACCCAUCUCUACUUCAAUUGGCCGGGAACCAUUCGUGUACCAGCACCCUGCCUCUACGCUCACAAGCUAUCUUUCCUUGUUGGCCAAAGCCUGCACAAAGAGCCCCGGAUUGAGUUGGCUGACCGGCUGUUCUUCCUAUAGGCAGUAAGACCCGGGGUAAUAUGUAAACAAUAGCUUACGUUUGCCAGCGUUAGCAGCUUUUGCUCAUGUGGGACAGACUGUUUUCUGCUGACAUUUGCGAAUGUUAACAACAAAGGCAUAUGGUCUUCCUAUGUCGUAUUGUCAGAAAUUAGACUUUCAUGCUGUAACGCUAAAGCUUCAUGCUGAAGAUGUCUUCACUGUUUUGCUCAUACAAAAUUUGGAAAUUAGCAAAAACAAAUUGACUGGAAAGAUUCAAAAUAAUAUAAAUGGGGCACAAAACAGCAAUUAACGAUUACUCCUCUUUCAGUUUGUCAUCAGGUUAAAAAAAACAUGAAAACUACUUCAUGAUGAGGGUUUUGAGGUCACAAGAAGUUGGGUCAUUCCAUGGGUCGGAUGGUCACCAUCUCAGAUUUUAUUUUUAAUAUUCUUCCAUAAGAUCCAAUUGUUUGUUAUUCUGUAGGAUCCAAAUUGUUGCAAUUUUCCAUAAGAUGCAGUUUUUGCAAUCUUCCAUACGAUCCAAUUGUUGCGAUAUUCCAAUUGUUGCAAUGUUUUUAAGUU
This is a long non-coding RNA of Patiria miniata (bat star), 1457 nucleotides long. RefSeq lists it as uncharacterized. The record is from RefSeq and is a predicted model, not a curated record. Lineage: Eukaryota; Metazoa; Echinodermata; Asteroidea; Valvatida; Asterinidae. The transcript has 6 exons.